GAUGAACGCUGGCGGCGUGCCUAAUACAUGCAAGUCGAGCGAACAGAUAAGGAGCUUGCUCCUUUGACGUUAGCGGCGGACGGGUGAGUAACACGUGGGUAACCUACCUAUAAGACUGGAAUAACUCCGGGAAACCGGGGCUAAUGCCGGAUAACAUUUAGAACCGCAUGGUUCUAAAGUGAAAGAUGGUUUUGCUAUCACUUAUAGAUGGACACGCGCCGUAUUAGCUAGUUGGUAAGGUAACGGCUUACCAAGGCAACGAUACGUAGCCGACCUGAGAGGGUGAUCGGCCACACUGGAACUUAAACACCGUCCAUACUCCUACGGUAGGCAGCAGUAGGGAAUCUUCCGCAAUGGUCGAAAGCCUGACGCAACAACGCCACGUGAGUUAUGAAGGUCUUCCGAUCGUAAAACUCUCUUAUUAGGUAAGAACAAAUGUAUAAGUAACUGUGCACGUCUUGACGGUACCUAAUCAGAAAGCCACGGCUAACUACGUG
Molecule: ribosomal RNA, 497 nt
Filed under: uncultured bacterium
Lineage: Bacteria
Description: partial 16S ribosomal RNA
Rfam family: Bacterial small subunit ribosomal RNA
Source: RNAcentral